RNAcentral lists this ribosomal RNA (478 nucleotides) under uncultured bacterium. RNAcentral's name for it is "bacterial SSU rRNA". It matches the Rfam family "Bacterial small subunit ribosomal RNA", at positions 1 to 471 of the family's 1533-position model. The record is from RNAcentral.
GUCGUAACAGGUAGCCGUAGAGUUUGAUCCUGGCUCGAUUGAACGCUGGCGGCAUGCCUUACACAUGCAAGUCGAACGGCAGCACGGGAGCAAUCCUGGUGGCGAGUGGCGAACGGGUGAGUAAUACAUCGGAACGUGCCCAAUCGUGGGGGAUAACGCAGCGAAAGCUGUGCUAAUACCGCAUAAGAUCUACGGAUGAAAGCAGGGGAUCGCAAGACCUUGCGCGAAUGGAGCGGCCGAUGGCAGAUUAGGUAGUUGGUGAGGUAAAGGCUCACCAAGCCUUCGAUCUGUAGCUGGUCUGAGAGGACGACCAGCCACACUGGGACUGAGACACGGCCCAGACUCCUACGGGAGGCAGCAGUGGGGAAUUUUGGACAAUGGGCGAAAGCCUGAUCCAGCCAUGCCGCGUGCAGGAUGAAGGCCUUCGGGUUGUAAACUGCUUUUGUACGGAACGAAAAGUCUCUUUCUAAUAAAGGGG